CUAGGAAUCCCCUAGGAAUCUUGUUAAAAUGCAGUUCUUGAUUCAAUAGAUCUGGAAUGGGGACCAAAAAGUUUGCAUUUCUAACAAUUAUCCCAGGUGACACAGAC
RNAcentral lists this microRNA precursor (107 nucleotides) under Marmota monax (woodchuck). Lineage: Eukaryota; Metazoa; Chordata; Mammalia; Rodentia; Sciuridae. The record is from RNAcentral.